RNAcentral lists this ribosomal RNA (447 nucleotides) under Ascitendus aquaticus. RNAcentral describes it as "SSU rRNA". It matches the Rfam family "Eukaryotic small subunit ribosomal RNA", at positions 530 to 1010 of the family's 1831-position model. The record is from RNAcentral. Lineage: Eukaryota; Fungi; Ascomycota; Sordariomycetes; Annulatascales; Annulatascaceae.
UCCCUUAACGAGGAACAAUUGGAGGGCAAGUCUGUGCCAGCAGCCGCGGUAAUUCCAGCUCCAAUAGCGUAUAUUAAAGUUGUUGCAGUUAAAAGCUCGUAGUUGAACCUUGGGCCUGGCUGGCCGGUCCGCCUCACCGCGUGCUCGCGGCCCGGCCUUUCCCUCGGGGAACCGAUGCUUCACGGGGUGUGGGGGACCGCUUUUACUUUGAAAAAUUGAGUGUUCAAACGGCCUACGCCGAAUACAUUAGCAUGGAAUAAUAAAAUAGGACGCGCGGUUCUAUUUUGUUGGUUUCUAGGACGCCGUAAUGAUUAAUAGGGACAGUGGGGGCAUCAGUAUUCUUGUCAGAGGUGAAAUUCUUGGAUUUAGAAGACAACUACUGCGAAAGCAUUUGCCAAGGAUGUUUUCAUUAAUCAAGAACGAAAGUUAGGGGAUCGAAAACGAUCA